GGCGUUUGCAGCAGCAGGGCAUCCCGAUCCGGGAUAUCCCCCCCGAUAUGAUAAGGCAGACCGCAGUUGGCGAAGCUCACGAACUCGCCCCGCUCGAACAUCACGAUCUCCGCCUCUUCGCUCAAACGGCGGGCACGGGCGGCGGCGGACGCCCCCCCGGCCACACCAC
Molecule: non-coding RNA, 169 nt
Filed under: Aeromonas caviae
Lineage: Bacteria; Pseudomonadati; Pseudomonadota; Gammaproteobacteria; Aeromonadales; Aeromonadaceae
Source: RNAcentral